GGCCCUAUAUCAAUUGAUCUUUGCUAGAGGACUGGCUCGUAACCUUUGCCUGGGAAAUAUGAUAUUGUUUACAUGUAAACCAUUUCCAUGGCAGGGAAAAACUUAAUUUUCUCUUCAUAAUUUACAAUAAAACCUCAAUAAUUAUUUUCCUCUAAUUUUCCUCAAUUAUUACUCAUGCUCAAGUCCAACCACUGUUUAGCUGUUACAGGACAAGUCUGCCAAUGUUACUGUCAAAACCUUACUGUAUAAAUAACAGUAAGCA
RNAcentral lists this long non-coding RNA (262 nucleotides) under Mytilus galloprovincialis (Mediterranean mussel). The record is from RNAcentral. Lineage: Eukaryota; Metazoa; Mollusca; Bivalvia; Mytilida; Mytilidae.